UUCAACCGGACUCUCCAAGGCAGGUGUGAACGCACCCUCUUGUUUAGAGAAGUCUCGCACUGAAAUCUCACACUCUCUCACAUUGUUGAAAGCAGCUAUAUACUUAGCCAUCUUUCUGUACGUUAACAAACUCUAAGAAAACCAGAACCCUUUGCUUCAAUUUUCACUCACAUUUUCACUGCGGUUUUCCCCAGCAACAAGUCACAUGACACCACCACAAACAGACCCAAUCAAGUCAAAACUUAAAAAAAGUUAAUUAUCUGUUGGGUCGUUUUCAAAAUGUUUUCAUAUACAUAUAAAAACAAUGCCCUGUGAAAUGACUUUGCAGGUCAUUUAGCGACUGCAGCAUUCCUUGCGCAAUAUUGGACAAAUUUAAAACAUUGUCACUGAAACACAAAAAUUAUAGGGGCUACGUUAAAAAAAUAUUCAAGUUACCCUGUAAAGAUGUCCUAACAAUAUUAUCAGUAAUUCACACCAGUCAUUAUGCAACUCUGCCACUAUACUAGCAGAACCAUUCGCCCCCUCUGAGUCCCCCCCAGCCGAGCUAACAGAGCCCCCUGCAGCUGUUGAGGAGAGCGAACCUACAGCAGCGGCAGCAGCAGAAAGCUUCGCAGCAGAGCCCGCCGAGCCUCAGCCUGAAGCUGUGGCAGAGAGCGCAGCAGAGCCAGUGGUAGAAGCCCCCCCAGAGGAGGCAGCUGAACCCCCUGCUGCUCCUGUAGUGGAGGAGGCAGAACCCUCCGCCCCCUGUGAGCCCCCCCCAGCCGAGCUAACAGAGCCCCCUGCAGCUGUUGAGGA
Molecule: long non-coding RNA, 795 nt
Organism: Notothenia coriiceps (black rockcod)
Lineage: Eukaryota; Metazoa; Chordata; Actinopteri; Perciformes; Nototheniidae
Exons: 4
Source: RefSeq, a predicted model, not a curated record